AUGGCUCAGAUUGAACGCUGGCGGCAGGCCUAACACAUGCAAGUCGAGCGGAUGACGGGAGCUUGCUCCUUGAUUCAGCGGCGGACGGGUGAGUAAUGCCU
This 101-nucleotide ribosomal RNA is filed under the name Pseudomonas sp. LAMO17WK12:I8. Its description in RNAcentral is "16S rRNA. Bacterial SSU". It matches the Rfam family "Bacterial small subunit ribosomal RNA", at positions 19 to 118 of the family's 1533-position model. The record is from RNAcentral. Lineage: Bacteria; Pseudomonadati; Pseudomonadota; Gammaproteobacteria; Pseudomonadales; Pseudomonadaceae.